GAGAGAUGGUGGACAGAUCAGGUA
RNAcentral lists this microRNA (24 nucleotides) under Carica papaya (papaya). RNAcentral's name for it is "cpa-miR8143". The record is from miRBase by way of RNAcentral. Lineage: Eukaryota; Viridiplantae; Streptophyta; Magnoliopsida; Brassicales; Caricaceae.